AACGCAAAUUGCGCCCAAGGCUUCGGCCAAAGGCAUGUCUGCCUCAGCGUCGGCUUACAUCCUCGCCCUCCCUCAUGUGAAGGGCGGACUUGGCCUUCCCGGCUCAUUUUUGAUGCCCGGGUUGGCUGAAGCCAAGAGGCUUGAACAUUGCCCCGUUGUAGGGCGAUGGCUUGGUAGGUAGGCAACUCCUACACAACCUGCCGUCACCCGAGGGGACUUUGUUGGAGGCCUAGCAGGAAUUGGUGAUGGUAUCGACCGUCCCAAAGCUCUAACCUUCGACCUGAGCUCAGGCAAGACUACCCGCUGAACUUAA
This 313-nucleotide unclassified non-coding RNA is filed under the name uncultured Chlorellales. RNAcentral's name for it is "sequence contains 5.8S rRNA gene, ITS2, 28S rRNA gene". The record is from RNAcentral. Lineage: Eukaryota; Viridiplantae; Chlorophyta; Trebouxiophyceae.